UGUGAUCAGCAUAUUUACGUGUUCCUGUUUAUGUCCUUCAACUAGCAUGUCUAUUAAGUACCUAAUCUCAUGACUAAUGUGUGUUUCCGAUUUGGGUCCUCUAUGUCCCAAACCCCUAUUCCUUGUCACUGGUGAAGCAUGUAAUUCUCUCUGAAUUGGUUUUGUGUGUGUUGUUUUUGCUCCUACCCCCUUUCCCUUUUAAGAACUAUUUUAUUAGGCAAUUUUUCUGUUGUUUUACAAACUCACUUCAAACAUGUUGUUUUUAAACUAUUUUCCGACUCAAUACCUUUGAGUCUAUGUCCAGCACUCUCACAUGCAUUCUUAGAUCAUUAGGUUCUACUCCUCUUAUGUGACCCUUGCUUUAGGACCCUUGAGCUCCCUCUGAACAUGGACACAUAAGGGCUGGCUCUUCC
Molecule: long non-coding RNA, 413 nt
Filed under: Nicotiana benthamiana
Lineage: Eukaryota; Viridiplantae; Streptophyta; Magnoliopsida; Solanales; Solanaceae
Description: long non-coding RNA (NBEN_LNC016289)
Source: RNAcentral